This is a long non-coding RNA of Talpa occidentalis (Iberian mole), 691 nucleotides long. RefSeq lists it as uncharacterized. The transcript has 3 exons. Lineage: Eukaryota; Metazoa; Chordata; Mammalia; Eulipotyphla; Talpidae. The record is from RefSeq and is a predicted model, not a curated record.
CUCUCAGGAUUACUCGGUGUUCGCUUUGGUGAAAUGCUUGCAUCAAUGGGCGAACCAUACUGGCUGAGGAUUAAUUAACUCCCAGCUUGACAUAGAUAUAAAAGUGUGACUUUGGAAGCUAUGUGUAGAGUUUAGCAAAGCCACAAGAUGGAAGAAGCUUGGGUUACUACUGCUUGCAGAAGAGCUGCCUAUCAGUCAAGACUCUAUGAAGUCUCCCAUAACGGAGACAACUUUGUGUCCACUGAAGGUUUGAACUCCCUCUUGCAGAGUAUAGAAUCAUUGACUGGAAGCAUCUGCUAACCGGGAGUACAUUUCCCACGCUUCCUUACAUACAGUUGAGGCCGCAGGACUGAUUCUUGUCAAUGGAAUGGAGAAUGAUGUACAUCACAUGGUCAAGAGGCUCAUCAGUGUGUGUGCCUUCAUUGCCUUUCUCUGUUCUCUGGCUGAAUGCAAAGACUCCAAGGCCCAAGAGGACGAUGGAGCCACAAUAUGGAAGAAGCCUGGGUUAUGAAGAAUCAUGUGGAAUGUUGACUGUCCACUGGGAAAAAUGCCUGAGGAAUAUACUUCUGUUGGCCACGCCAUUAAAAACAAAACCUUGGGACAUUUUUGUUAGAGCAGUUAGCAUUGUCCUAGCUGAUACAGCCCCGUUGUACGUAGUGUAAGUAGGAGGGCGAUAGCCACCCUGGCCUCU